AAAUUUGAAACAGGAAUUUCACUAUUACUAGAAAAGACAGUAGGAACUAUAUCAUAAGAAAUGACAGAAUUUGUUCCAACUUGCGAUGGAAUUACAAAAGAUUGAUCAUUAAGAUGAUGCUUAGAAUGUUGGAAAUGAUAUAAACCAUCUUCAAACUUGGCUAUCCCAAUCAUCUUCCAUGUUAUAAGAUCCUGGAUAAAAGCAGAAAUCAUGUGAGAAUAGUAAGAAAUACCUGUGCUUAAGUACAAGAUUACUUGCAGAAAUCAAGUUGAACUUAAAACAUGGCACAACCAAUACAUCUGUCAAAAUCAGAUUCGUAGAUAAUUUUUUUUUUACUGUUCCAACAGGAGUAAUUAGAACAGUAUCACCAUUUGGUAACUUCACAAAUGCAUUAACUUGAUUGGUCACAGUAGUCAAUAUAUAACACGCCAUAUCUACCUGGAAUUAUGGAAGUACUGGGAUAUAUACGAUUACAUGAGAAUGCAAAAGCAUUAGGCAUUUGAGAAGAUGAAGAUAUUACUUCCUGAGAUUGUUGGCUUCUAGUGGAAAGUUGCCCUUUCAGUUGUGGAGCACGCAUAGCUAAGAUUUGUUUGCACUAAAUGCUAAGGUUGGACAGAGAAUUAAUCACUUCUGAACCAUUAUCAUGGGAAACUUGACCAACGGUGUUAGCAACUGAAUUUUGCCUUUAGCCAAUUAGUGACCAGGAGGAUAGCCAAUUAACUUGUAACACUUCCCUUUAAGGUGUCCAAACAUCCUACAAUAACAUCAUUUUGUCUCUCAUCUUGUAAGAUUAAUGCAAAAACUUUGUUCAAUGAAGGUGGAUCCAUUAAUAAAACUUGACUUCUCACAUUGGAAAAAUGUUCAUCAAGCCCCAUGAGAAAUUGCAUAACCUGAUCCUCUGACUUGUAAUCUGCAUUGCUAACCUCCGGUCUAUAGUUGUCUAAUUCUUCCCAAAGUCCUUUAAGCUAGUUGAAAUAGGAAUUGACAGAACUAUUUGCUUGAGAAAUUGAUGCAAUCUGCUUCUUUAUUUCAUAGAUUUGAGGACCAUUACCUUAAUUAUAUUGAUCCCUAAGCUCGAUCCAGAUCUGGCGUGUAGAAUCCUUGUGCAUAACACUCGGAUAAACUUCUUUUGGAACAGAAUUGAUGAUCCAGGAAGAGACUACAUGAUUGCACAUCCUGCAAGCACUCUAAAGUGAAUCAUCUACAGACUACAGAAGGUUUAGCAAUCGAUCCAUCAAUAAAACCUUCCUUAUUUUUGAUACUAAGUGCCAUAACAACAACACGACUCCAUGUCAUGUAGUUUUCUUCUAUGACAUGACAAAUAUGAACUGCCUUCUCGUGUUAUCACCAUAAUGAAGGUAAUACGGACUAUUUGGAUCGCUUAUUAACCGAUUAACAAGGGAAGUUAUCUCGCCAGCAACUACAUCUCUAGCAAGGGAAGUUACCUCGCAGGCAACUACAUCUCCGAUAGACGAAUCAGCUGGUGAAUUGAUGUGAUCAAUUUGAUUCUGGAUUUGAACUUGUUCAUUAGAUUCCAUUGCCAUUGCAGGGAAGCUUCAAAGCUCUGAUACCAUGUCAAAUCAGCAAUAAGCAGGUUCUAGAGGGAAGAACAAAACUGGCGGGAGGAUUUUCUCAUUACCAAAAUCAAUCCAAAUUGAAACAUCAUUCCACUAUUUAUACACAAAUGUAUCUAACAAGCUUAAGAGAAAAUAAGUGCAAAAAGACUUAAAUAUCCCAAUGCUAUCUUGUUCAAUAAUGUCUCUCAGGCUUGUUGCAACUCAAACCCAAAAAUCUCAAAAGAACAUAAAAUAUCGAAAUGACCAUCAACAUCAAGAUUCGAUUAUUUUUGGGCUCAAAACAUCAUUGUAGCCUUCUGUACAAAAUGAAAACUCCACAAUCCUAACACCAAAUAAAUCGAACAGAGUCAACUACUACAAUGGACCAAAAAAUAAACCCAAACUUUGAUUUUUACUUCUCAACCUUUAAUCGAAGAAUCACAAAGACUCAACACACAGAUUAACACCAAAAAAACUAGGAGUUUAAGGGAUUUGCACAAAGAAUAUGAAGAAAAAGACUAAAGGAUGAGAAGCAACACAAAGAAAUAGAAAGAAAAUCCAGAAACUUCUCAAACAAAAUCAGAG
Molecule: long non-coding RNA, 2141 nt
Filed under: Olea europaea subsp. europaea
Lineage: Eukaryota; Viridiplantae; Streptophyta; Magnoliopsida; Lamiales; Oleaceae
Source: RNAcentral